GCCCUGGUGGCUCAGCGGUAGAAUUCCCGCCUGCCACGCUGGCAGCCUGGGUCUGAAUCCCAGCAAAGGCA
Non-coding RNA from Taeniopygia guttata (zebra finch), 71 nucleotides. NCBI's taxonomy places the organism in Eukaryota, Metazoa, Chordata, Aves, Passeriformes, Estrildidae. The record is from Rfam.